GAUGAACGCUGGCGGCGUGCCUAAUACAUGCAAGUCGAGCGAACGGACGAGAAGCUUGCUUCUCUGAUGUUAGCGGCGGACGGGUGAGUAACACGUGGAUAACCUACCUAUAAGACUGGGAUAACUUCGGGAAACCGGAGCUAAUACCGGAUGAUAUUUUGAACCGCAUGGUUCAAAAGUGAAAGACGGUCUUGCUGUCACUUAUAGAUGGAUCCGCGCUGCAUUAGCUAGUUGGUAAGGUAACGGCUUACCAAGGCAACGAUGCAUAGCCGACCUGAGAGGGUGAUCGGCCACACUGGAACUGAGACACGGUCCAGACUCCUACGGGAGGCAGCAGUAGGGAAUCUUCCGCAAUGGGCGAAAGCCUGACGGAGCAACGCCGCGUGAGUGAUGAAGGUCUUCGGAUCGUAAAGCUCUGUUAUUAGGGAAGAACAUAUGUGUAAGUAACUGUGCACAUCUUGACGGUACCUAAUCAGAAAGCCCCGGCUAACUACGUG
RNAcentral lists this ribosomal RNA (497 nucleotides) under uncultured bacterium. RNAcentral's name for it is "partial 16S ribosomal RNA". It matches the Rfam family "Bacterial small subunit ribosomal RNA", at positions 28 to 507 of the family's 1533-position model. The record is from RNAcentral.